UACAGAGGGUGCGAGCGUUGUUCGGAAUUACUGGGCGUAAAGCGCGUGUAGGCGGUUGUUCAAGUCAGGGGUGAAAGCCUUGAGCUCAACUCAAGAAAUGCACUUGAUACUGGAUGACUAGAGGACCGGAGAGGAUAGUGGAAUUCCCAGUGUAGUGGUGAAAUACGUAGAGAUUGGGAAGAACACCAGUGGCGAAGGCGGCUAUCUGGACGGUUUCUGACGCUAAGACGCGAAAGCGUGGGGAGCAAACAGG
RNAcentral lists this ribosomal RNA (253 nucleotides) under uncultured bacterium. Its description in RNAcentral is "partial 16S ribosomal RNA". It matches the Rfam family "Bacterial small subunit ribosomal RNA", at positions 524 to 776 of the family's 1533-position model. The record is from RNAcentral.